AUUUAUCAUAUGUAUACCUGCACCUUAUCCUAUUCUAUGGUAUAAUGGAGUAAAAUUUGCUGCAGAAUGUCAUUGUCCACCACUUACUUGCCAUUUAAACAUUUUUCUCUCACCAUCAUGAAAUUUUACCAAAGCUUAUUGCUCUAGUAAUGUUGUUUUUUUGGGAUUGCAAGAGUCUCUAGAUAAAGAACUGAUCCUAAUCACUGCAAUAUAGCAAGGUUCACAUGGGGCAUUUCAUUGCAGAAACAGUUAAGACAUUCCCUUGUCAACCAUGAAAAUUAUCUUGUUUAGAUUCAAUUCUUCUUGUGAUUUUCCAUUAUGAUUUAUCAGCAACUUUGGCAUUUGGCCAAUGUAGUAGGAACA
This 363-nucleotide unclassified non-coding RNA is filed under the name Hevea brasiliensis (rubber tree). Lineage: Eukaryota; Viridiplantae; Streptophyta; Magnoliopsida; Malpighiales; Euphorbiaceae. The record is from RNAcentral.